Molecule: non-coding RNA, 151 nt
Organism: Yersinia pestis CO92
Lineage: Bacteria; Pseudomonadati; Pseudomonadota; Gammaproteobacteria; Enterobacterales; Yersiniaceae
Rfam family: Salmonella enterica Typhi npcRNA 44
Source: Rfam
CUUUAACAAUCUGGAACAAGCUGAAAAUUGAAACAUUACAGCUGAAAUUUACCCCGCCGUAGAUGUAUUGGGGUAAAGAGUAACCUGUAAUAGAGUCUCUCAAAUAAUCGCAACACAAGAUGUACUGUCAGCAAUGAUAAGACACCUUCGG